This 411-nucleotide long non-coding RNA is filed under the name Capsella grandiflora. RNAcentral's name for it is "long non-coding RNA (CGRA_LNC000171)". The record is from RNAcentral. Lineage: Eukaryota; Viridiplantae; Streptophyta; Magnoliopsida; Brassicales; Brassicaceae.
UCUUUAUUAAAAAAUAUAAAUCAUGGUAUAUGCUGAAAAAUCUAAUUUUUUUUUAUUAUACGGAUAAGAUGAUAAUUUAUUUGUUUCACAUAACAUAAAAGGGAGAUUUGCACAAUAACAUUAUACAAAUACCCUCUCUUGGUGUCCAUUUUCAAAAAUACCCUAUUCAAUGUACAAAAUGAAUAAAUUACACUCUUUUAUUAUAACCCAUGAUGAAAAAAGAAUAUUAUUUCCAACAAAAAGAAUAUUCCUUCCAAAAAAUUUUCCGCCAAACAAAUUCCGGCAAUAAUGUUUCCAGAAUUCUUUAAAAACCUUGUACAUAUUUUUAAAACCCUUAAAAAUCCUUUAAAACCCCUUAUAAAUCUUUUAAAAGUCAUACAAAACCUUUAAAAACUUUAGAAAACCUUUNNN